GUGAUGAUCACAUCCGAUUUUGAAGGGUGAAGCGGCCGUCCCAGGCUGA
This 49-nucleotide small nucleolar RNA is filed under the name Pyrobaculum aerophilum str. IM2. Its description in RNAcentral is "PAEsR36". The record is from RNAcentral. Lineage: Archaea; Thermoproteati; Thermoproteota; Thermoprotei; Thermoproteales; Thermoproteaceae.